AUGGCCGGCGCUCCCCCGACGCCCGCCGAGAAGGACGCCCUCGUCUCCUCCUUCCUCGAGAUCGCCGCCGGCCAGACGCCCCACACCGCCACCCAGUUCCUCCAGAUGACGAGCUGGCAUCUCGAGGAGGCGCUGCAGCUCUUCUACAUCGACGGGGAGGCCGCGCUCGCCGGGGCGCAUCCGCCGGCCCAGUCGGCCGCCGAGGCCGCGCUGGCGGCGGCCGCCGCCGCCGCCGAGGUGGAGGAGGGGUUCAGGUUCCAUCCGCCGCCGGCAGCCGCGCUUGAAGAUGGGAUGCUGCAGGGGCUGGGGGACGACGGCGACGUCCGUGCGCCGUUGCCUGUGAGGCGCGAGACUCUCUACGGCGACACCCCGAUGAUUGUGACCCGGCCGAAUGCGACAGUUGCAUUUCGUAACUUUGAAGAGGAGGCAAGACAAUCUGCUUGGGAUUCUGAACAGAAUGCCACAUCCAGUUCUCGUGAUAAUCUGGCUUCUUUAUAUCGCCCACCUUUCGAUUUGAUGUUCAAUGGACCAUUUGACAAGGCAAAGUUAGAGGCCUCUUCUCUAGACAAGUGGCUCUUGAUCAAUUUGCAGUCAACAGAAGAGUUCAGCUCUCACAUGCUUAAUCGAGACACUUGGGCAAAUGAAGCGGUGGCUCAAACAAUCAGGUCAAACUUGAUUUUCUGGCAGGUUUAUCAAGAUACCGGUGAGGGGAGGAAGGUAUGCACCUACUACCAUUUGGUCUCUGUUCCUGCCAUUCUCCUAAUUGACCCCAUCACUGGACAAAAAAUGCGUGGUUGGAGUGGAAUGGUUUACCCGGACAGUUUGCUGGAGGAUCUGAUGCCUUACCUGGAGAAAGGUCCAAAGGAGCACCAUGCUGCUCAACCUCAAAAACGCCCAAGAAAAGUUGACCAGGAAACCUCUAUGGUUAGGCAAGGUAAAACAGCUGUAGAGAGUGAAGAUGAAGAACUAGCACGGGCGGUGGCGGCUUCCUUGGAGGAGAACAAAGGAGCCGGGGGAUCGGAUGCCGCUGAUGAGAAGCCUAACCCCGUGGAAGAGACGGAGCCGAGUUUGAGCGUGAAGAUCGAGUAUCCCCCUCUACCCGAAGAGCCGAAAGUGAGCAGGGACCUUCUCUGCAGGGUCGCCGUCCGGCUGCCCGACGGCCGGAGGAUCCAGAGGAAUUUCCUCCACACAGACCCAAUCAAGCUGCUGUGGUCGUUCUGCUCCUCUCAGGUGGAGGAAGGCGAGAAGCGGGCCUUCCACUUCGGGCAGCCCAUCCCGGGCGCGGCCAUCAACAAGCUGCAGUACGGGAGCGAGCAGACCUUCAAGGAGGCCGGGCUGGCCAACUCCAUGAUCAACCUCUUGUGGGACUAG
This 1371-nucleotide ribosomal RNA is filed under the name Triticum aestivum (bread wheat). RNAcentral's name for it is "partial small subunit ribosomal RNA". The record is from RNAcentral. Lineage: Eukaryota; Viridiplantae; Streptophyta; Magnoliopsida; Poales; Poaceae.